Molecule: ribosomal RNA, 119 nt
Filed under: Gadus morhua (Atlantic cod)
Lineage: Eukaryota; Metazoa; Chordata; Actinopteri; Gadiformes; Gadidae
Source: RNAcentral
GCUUACGGCCAUACCACCUUAGGCACGCCCGAUCUCAUCUGAUCUCAGAAGUUAAGCAGGGUCGGGCCUGGUUAGUACUUGGAUGGGUGACCGCCUGGGAAUACCAGGUGCUGUAAGCA